Long non-coding RNA from Chrysemys picta bellii (western painted turtle), 3532 nucleotides. RefSeq lists it as uncharacterized. The record is from RefSeq and is a predicted model, not a curated record. Lineage: Eukaryota; Metazoa; Chordata; Testudines; Emydidae.
UGGGAGCCCUGUGGCCAGUGCCACACACCCCUUCUCCCUGUGCCCUAACCAGCUAGACACUUAUUCAGCAUCAGCUGCCGCUUACGUGGCAGGGAUCAGCCCCACCCCCCGUCUUUCCCCCUGAAAGUUACUGUGCAGAGCAAAGCCCAGGAGCUGCUGGGAGUCAGGACUCCUGCAAUGCUGGGCUGGCUAUGCGCCGCCUCACUGCUAUAGCUCUCUCAGGGGCAGCUCGCUGGUACAGGGCUGGUUACUGGGCCCUGCACUCACAGCCAGAGGUGGGGACAUUGGGCAAUCUGCAGAGGAAGAGCUCUGCUCACAAAGGACAUGGACAGACAGAGCACUGGGGAGGCACUGACGCUUUGGUGAAUUGAUACCAAGUAAUCAGAAGCAGUUUGGAGGGGGAAUCUAAGUUGUUACAAGAAAAUAGGGCAUAAGGCCUAUUUCUCAAUCCUGCUAAGAACAGUUUUGUAUUCUGCACUGUGGAUGCCCUAGUCACAUCUCCUCUGCAUGCCAUUGGAGACACGAAACCCCAUUGCAGCUCUGCCCACAUGCAGCCUUCCCUCUCAGGGCACAGCAGUGCUGAAAUAGUGCAAUUUCUAAAACUAGCCCUGGAUCUGCAGUAUGAUCAAUAUGUCUGAGCACACAAGGAGGCACUUAGGGCACAUUAACAUUUCAGAGGGUUGCACAGAUAGUAUGCUAGUCUGUGUGUUCACACCUACAUCUCAUUCUGAACAACACUUUUGCUCUGCUCAGUCCAUGGCUAGUGUUCACUCAUUUUAACAAUGUUUUUUUUAAGUUAUAGACGAAGCAUCUGCUUCCAGCCAUAGCGGAGUCAGUCACUGCAGAGAUUCUAAGGCGGAUGAAUUUGGGCUGACAAUGCAGAGGCUCCUAGGAAUUAAUUGAAGAGAUGAAAACAGCACUGCUCCCACACACAAGGCUUCAGGGACUGAAUUAUCCUCUGAUGCGUCAUGAGGCCCCAUUUCUCCCAGUAGCUGUAGUUAGAGAGGCAGCUCUAACCCUUAGCAAGCACAGAUUUGGAGCAAAUAGAAGCAUUACUAUAUUACUCAUUAAUUUAAUUGAAGAAAGUAUCUUCUGGGGCAGCAAUUUAAUUACAGAGGAUGGGUAGCUUCCAUCCCUGAGGAGAGAGAGGAGCAGUAGCAUCACAAAACAGUGGUGGUCUCUGGACCAACAGCUGGCGCUGCUUCAAAGAGAAUGCAGUAAACUCCCUGCUUUUCUACCCCCAAAGAAGCAAAUGCCUGGACUGCAGUUGGGAGAAGCUGACAAGUGAGGCAGGGCUCUCUGCUGUAUCCGAGUCUCCCUGCCUUCUCUCCUCUUUUCAGAUCCCCAAUAGCCUCCUUUCCCCCAAUCUUAUCAUCAAUUACUACAAACUUAUCCAUUGCAAAGAUUGACUCGGGACACUGCAGUUAGACAAGCCUACCUAGUCAUUUCAUGUGGCAGCUGCUGCAGCUUCUCCUUGUGGGGCUGUGUCAUUUUUACCAUCAGGCACCGCCGUGACAUCCUAACGCAAAGGGAUCCAACAAAGAUUGUUCCUUUUAGUUUUUGAUAAUGCUCAUAUGUAAGUGUUCACAAGUCACUGGGGUGAGUGUGUGCAGCUGACUUUGGUGAUGGGGGGACGGACACACACAUUGUUUGCCCUGCCUAUUUUAGACACACGUUUUUGGCCCAUGGAUGUCAUCUCUGGUAGAACUCCUUGGAGCAUCAUCCUGAAAAAGGGAAGAGUUACUAAAGAGUGAAAACAACCCACCAUCUUCAGUUUAGUUACACAAUAUUAAUAAGGGUAUUUUAGGAGCCACCUCCAACAGCCCAAUGGAAAAGAAGGAGUGCUACUCUCCACCACUCUCCUCCCUCCCUGCAGCAAGUAGCUUUGUGUAGGAAACGGAUGGAGUUUUUCCUUCCCUCCUCACAGGCCCCACCUGAAAUGCUGGCUGGGCCAUUUAGUAAGGCCUUAUCUACACAUGAAUACACAGCGGUGGCACUGUCCCUAGAUUGAUGGGAUCCGCCAUACACCCAGACCUUCUUCCAGCAGUGGUUCUCUGGGCAUUCCUUGAUGCAAGUUACCUUGUGCCAAAUUACCCACCCAAAUACCCAACCUGGUAGUGGCCAAGAAAAUGCUGUACACUCAGCUCAAACACCCAGCCACAUUAGUGUCUCCAAAGAAUCCUUACAGCGUUCAGACCCUGCUGCUGAAUCUUUACACACUACCUGUUAAUUAAUAGCACCUGCCAUGCCACAAGUGCUGCCCUGUAGCUCAGGGGAAGGUGGCAACACCCGAAUAAGUGGGUAACCCUGAUACCCUCUCUUUGCUCAGAGCUGGGUCCCCUUCCCCCCCCUUCUGUCUCAAGCAAAGAUUGACAUAGAUCAUAAUACACCCAUGAGGCAGAAUCUGCCUCCAUCCUGCCUGAUCGGAGCCAAGAGCCUCUUCUACAGGUGGAUUGUAAAUAGAAACAGCUAGGCCCAUCUCAGCACUUCAAGGAAUCUUGUUGUGCAGUAAAAAACAUGUGUUUGGUUUUUUUUAAAAGCACCAGAUGCUCCAAGUGACAAUAUAAUUUUGUUUAUUUUCCUUUAAUACACUGCUGGUUAAAACUGCCAGGCAGUAGAUUUCAGAACAUUCCCUCAACCAAACAUCCUGGGAAAAUUAAAAAAUAAACAGCUACAUGUACCAAAAAUAAAAUAACCCACCCACACACCCAGCUCUUCUCCCCAAAAGAACAAGUCUUUGCAAAGCCAGUCUAAUCAGAAAUAGACAUCUGUGCUUUUAACCCAGGGCCUAAGAUUGAUACAAACAAACAGUCACCGCAAGUUGUUAUAACACAAAGCAAUGUACAGUAAAAAAACAAAUAAAAAUUAAAAAAAUCCUCCUUCAAAACCCUUUAGUACUGAUUACUAAUACAGAUGAAGAUUUACCCCAAAAAAAUUAAUAUUUCUCCCCAUAUUGCUAUAUCCUUCACGGUCAUUCAAGUCUUGCAGCCUUGAGUAGAGCUUGCAACUGUGUGGUUCUUAAUGCUCAACAAAUCAGCUGACUGCAAGAAGCCAGUGUUCCCUUAGCAAGGAGGGACCUGCAAGCAGCUCAUUCAGGCCUUGUCUACACAACCAUAUCCAAGUCCUGGGACCCACUUACAACACAGUUAAGAGUUGCUGUACAGAUGGGACCCAAACAUUGUCACUGUAUCUGGGCUAAAGCCUUGGGCAAUCCAGGCUAUUUCUCCAAAGACCCUGAGAACUCUACUUUUGUUUCAUGCAGCCUGGAGCCACCUUACAGACUGGUUAGUUUCUUAAGCAGAAAGAGCUCGAGUGCAAGAAGUCUCCAGGAGCAGCCCUGGCCCAAGUUUCUCAGCCUCUACUGGGUGUUUUACUCACUCCAAGAUCCUGACUGAACAUGCUUGGAUUAAAACCGAAUCACUGAGAGAGAACAAAUAAGCACACCCCUAACACACAUGAAUAAGAAAUAACUAUGGCUCAAAGAUUUUGCAUUUCCUAGAUUCACACACACUAAGAAGAGUUUCUGGUUAAA